AUGAGGGGAGCCCAGGACAAAGAGGGCUCAGACAGAAGCCAGGCCCAAAGGGCUCGCACUCGGAGCCCAGGAGGGCCCACGUGGGACCGGCUGUGCCCGUCUUGCCGCUCGAAAAGGCACAGGAGGAGAAGAAGAGAAACGUACCUGGGAAAAGUCCCAGAACGGCGGAACUCAAUCCGGCAGGCAUCCCCUGCGCACCUACUAUGUGCCGGCCAGAAAGACGCACCCACGCCGGGCCCCAUUUCCCCAGUUUGCACUCUACUGGGCAGAGACCAAAUGCACAAAGACACGUGCAGGGAGCCUUCCUGGAGGAGGUGUCCCCUGAGCCGAGUUGGAGCGGGUCGGUGCAGAUGGCCACAGAGAGCGCGAGUCCAACAGAAAGGCUGGCGGCAGCCGGAGAAGGGCUUACCCGAAGGGAGAUGGCACGUGGGGGAAGGAGUGCCCGGGGGGAGGGGAGGCUCACUGAGGAAGGGGCUGCCCCUGGGCGCAGGGAGGCCCGAUGAGGGGAAAGAAGAGGACGGAGAGGAGGCCUGUCCCGAGCCCGGCAGGAGUCACUCGACAGAGGCCCCGACUAGGCCCCCGAGCAGAGAUGCCCCGAGACGUCUCGCUGCACGGCUGGGCCGGGGCAGCGUCACCCUCCUGGCCCGCCUCCUCCGGCCCAGCCUGGCACACACGUGGGUCCCCCUCGGAUCCCCCGAGCACAGGCGUCUCCCCUCCUCGGCUCCUUCUGGCCCUCGUUUCCCCUGCAGAGCGAGUGCGUCUCCAGCUCCCCGGGAGGGGCCGCCCCCAAGCGGAUCCCCAGGAGGCCACACGCCGAGUGAAGGGCACCCAAAGGGGCUGGAAGACCCAGGCGAGCCGGCCUGUGAGCUCCCACCCUGGGAAGACGGACCUGGGCCUGGGGAGAGAGAGCUGGGAGGCGCUGGAGCCCGGGCACAAGGCAGCACUGAGACAGGCUGCGGCCUCCCUGUGGAGGCUGGCCCCGAAGCCUCUGGUGCCUGUCAUGGAGGGUGUUCCUGGGACCCCGGACCUGGGGUGAUCUUCUGCCCACUUUACAGAGGAGAAGACCGGAGCGGACAAGCCUGGGGCUCCCCGGGAGGGGGGGCAGCCUCCAGGGCACGGCUGGGCCGGAGGGAGGCCAAAGUCACAGCUGUUCCCGUCCGCCUGGCGGCCGCUCAGAAGGCCUUCUGA
Molecule: long non-coding RNA, 1188 nt
Filed under: Monodelphis domestica (gray short-tailed opossum)
Lineage: Eukaryota; Metazoa; Chordata; Mammalia; Didelphimorphia; Didelphidae
Description: lncRNA (ENSMODG00000041884.1)
Source: RNAcentral